This 192-nucleotide antisense RNA is filed under the name Yersinia bercovieri. Its description in RNAcentral is "Yersinia sRNA 251". It matches the Rfam family "Yersinia sRNA 251". Rfam says of the family: Antisense to phoH gene. Trimmed on 5'end from the original size. The record is from RNAcentral. Lineage: Bacteria; Pseudomonadati; Pseudomonadota; Gammaproteobacteria; Enterobacterales; Yersiniaceae.
GUAGGCAUUCAAUGUGUGUUGGCACAGCGCUGAGCGGACACAGUCCUGUUUGUCAAAGCGGAUAAUGCCAAUCAUUUCAUCCUCAGCGAAACGCUCCAGCGCAUCACUAAGACCUGAUUUCACACCACGCGGCAGGUCGCAUUGGGUGAUAUCGCCAUUUACGAUAACCGUGACAUUUUCACCGAGACGGGU